CUGGCGGCGUGCUUACACAUGCAAGUCGAACGAUGAACUCUCACUUGUGGGGGGGAUUAGUGGCGAACGGGUGAGUAACACGUGAGUAACCUGCCCUUAACUCUGGGAUAAGCCUGGGAAACUGGGUCUAAUACUGGAUAUUGACUUUACCUCGCAUGGGGUUUGGUUGAAAGCUUUUGUGGUUUUGGAUGGACUCGCGGCCUAUCAGCUUGUUGGUGAGGUAAUGGCUCACCAAGGCGACGACGGGUAGCCGGCCUGAGAGGGUGACCGGCCACACUGGGACUGAGACACGGCCCAGACUCCUACGGGAGGCAGCAGUGGGGAAUAUUGCACAAUGGGCGAAAGCCUGAUGCAGCGACGCCGCGUGAGGGAUGACGGCCUUCGGGUUGUAAACCUCUUUCAGUAGGGAACAAGGCUACACGUUGUGUGGUUGAGGGUACCUGCAGAAGAAGCGCCGGCUAACUACGUGCCAGCAGCCGCGGUAAUACGUAGGGCGCAAGCGUUAUCCGGAAUUAUUGGGCGUAAAGAGCUCGUAGGCGGUUUGUCGCGUCUUGCCGUGAAAGUCCGGGGCUCAACCCCGGAUCUGCGGGGGGUACGGGAGACUAAAUGAUU
Molecule: ribosomal RNA, 612 nt
Filed under: Actinomycetales bacterium P15
Lineage: Bacteria; Bacillati; Actinomycetota; Actinomycetes; Actinomycetales
Description: bacterial SSU rRNA
Rfam family: Bacterial small subunit ribosomal RNA
Source: RNAcentral